UUUCUCAAUUUCCAGCAGUUCCUUCAGCCCAUUCAAAACACAUGCCAUCAAAUACAAUACAACAGAAGCCCAGCACACCAAUUUCAACCCAAAUAACCCGGCCCACAACAAUUCCAAACGACCCGACCCCCCAUGCUGAUCUUCUUCUUCCAGCAAAGAACAAACCCAGAAAAGUCCAGCAGCAAAUCCAGCGACCCGAGCCCACUCUCAUUGUGUCGUCUUCUUCCUUUCUCCCUUAUCCUCUCCAUACGGGAAUAGUCUAGGUAUCACAAUCUAAGGCGCUCUUCGUCCUUCACCAAGGAAUCGAACGGCUCAAAUCAAGUUUCCGUUGAGAAUUGGUACAUUUCAGCUGGCCGACCUAUUCGAAUUUGAAUUUUGAAUUUUGAAUUUUAUCCCCUUUCCUCAUCCGAUUUCCCCCCAUUUUUAACCUAGUUCUUACCCUAUAAAUACCCUUUUUCUUCAUUGUUUAAGGUUGGGGGAAAAAAUGAGGCUAGCUUAAGAGAGAAACACACACAAAAAAAAAUAAAAAAAUGGAAAGGAUUUAGAGAGGAAAAGAAUCACUAACCUACAACAUUCAUAAAAGACAUACAUAUUAAAUAUAUACUUUCUUUCAUUGUUUCGGGCUGCUCGGAAUCCGAAUUCCUCAAAGUUUUUUCCGAAGUUGGUGGUGAAGUCCUCUGUAGCUCGUUGUUCUCGGUGUGCUACCCUGGAAAAGAGCGCACUUGAAGACCCAGAAGAAAUACUUGGAAGAAGCCAAAAUAUAUAGAAGAAGGGUAUAAGGUUUGAAGAAGUGAAUACGACUAUUAAGUUAUAGAAGGUAUGUCAUUGGCGUAAGUCAUCAAGCACGUAUGUCUUCAAGAAUUCUCAACAGACUUUGUUUCUACUCAAACAGAAUUACAAAUUAUCUUAUGGAUUGUACGCCAUUGAUGUUGAAGCUUGAUUAUUCUCCAAUUGCACUUAGAAUUCUUUGGAGCUUAGUAUAAUAAAGGGCGAGGACUUCCAAUACGUUGGAGCUCAAUAUAAUAAAUAGGUGAGGCCUUUCAACAGAGGUACUGCUUGCUUUAUCUAUAUGUUGAUAUCUCACAUUGAGAGGAAAUUUUGAAGGUGAAAACCAAAACAAAGCUUGAAGCUCUAUAACUUUCAAACCAACGAGACACUAGAAAAACCUCUGAUGGAUGAAAUUGGUCAAAAGAAGAUGAGUUGGUGGGUAUAAGUGAUCAAAGUAGUAGUUCAAUUCAUGGAUUACCUGAGUUUGAGAUUGUAGUGUUAAAUAAUUUUCGGAGGCAAAAGGUUGCAAUCGUGCUGCUGAAAUUAUGUGAGGAGAUGAUCAAAAAACCAGACUACAAAUUUCUUGUGUUGAAAAUCCUCAAGGCAAGUUGACUUGCGAGAAGUUUGUUCUUCAAAAUGGGCUACUAUCCAGUAACAGACAAAGAGGAGAUGAUACUUAUGAUCAAAGAUACUUCACUCGUAUAAUGUGUUACCUACCAUGGAUAGUCCCAAGGCCUAAGACUGAUUUUUUCUAUAAUGUGUUACCUACAUACUUUUUCUUUUCUAGUACAAUGGAUAGAGACCUAAGCCUUCUGAAGAUUGACUCUAACUAAGUAUAUAACAUUCGAUCCGUAAACAAAAUAUAGUCUAUUGUUAAACAAGAGAAAAAAAAUAUAUUUAACAAGUGAUAUCAGAGUCUAGUGAAAAAAGAAAGGUAGCAACUCAAAGGAAAGGAGAUCCUACAAGCUACUUUCGAAGGCUACAAGUUGCAAGACACUUAUCAAUUGCUCAAGAACUCUCAAUAGCAUUGAGAAACUCAACGAAAAUCACUACGAACCAUGGAGCACAGGAAUGCAAUAUUACUUUCUUGGGAAGGAAUUAUGGGAUAUCAUCAGUGGAUCAGAUACCACACCACCAACAGAUGUGAAGCAGCAAAAAGGCGGAAGGUCAAAACUGGAAAGACCAUGUUUGUUCUUACUGUAACAAUCGAGGAUGCGUUUCUACAACAAAUUAAGAAUGUCAAGAUACCAAAGAAGCUUGGGACACCUUGGCAACAACUUUUACAAAGAAGAAUGAUGUGAGAUUACAAAGGCUUGAAAAUGAGCUUUUAUCAAUCUUUCAACAGAAUAUGACGAUCAGUCUAUACUUCUCAAAGGUAAAAUUGUUAUCUAAUGAAAUAUCAAAAUUAGAUCCUGAAAAAUGCUAUCAUGGAGACAAUAAUGAGAGAAUCAUUGUUCAUGGUCUAAGGUCGGAGUACAAAAGCAUAAUUAUGGCCACACUGGGGUGGGACACAGAAUCACUUUUUAGAGUUGGAAAAUUUGUUGAUAAAUGAAGAAGAUUUGGAGAAGCCAUUAUCAAGCCUUACAAUAAAAAAUGAAGAUAAAGCGCUCUUCACCAAAAGAAAAGAAUACUAAAAAAGAGAAGCGAAGAGAAGCUCGGGGGAGACCAAAAGAAUCAACACAAAUAAAUCAACGACAAAACAAGCAGGCAAAAUGCUUUAACAACCGGAAAAUGGAGAAGUGCUACAAUUGUGUAAAGAAAGGACAUUAUGCCAGAGACUGCUGGCACAAGAAAGUCAAAGGUAAUGUAGCUACUUCUACUCAAAGCAA
Non-coding RNA from Solanum lycopersicum (tomato), 2597 nucleotides. The record is from RefSeq and is a predicted model, not a curated record. NCBI's taxonomy places the organism in Eukaryota, Viridiplantae, Streptophyta, Magnoliopsida, Solanales, Solanaceae.